GUUAGUAAUUAAAGAAGUUAAGGGACCAAAUGGUAAAGAAGAAAAGUUUAGGGACCAAAUGUUGAUAUAGAAAAGAAAGAAAAGAAAAGAAAGAAGAAAAAGGAGGAGGAAGAGAAGAAGGAUCGGCUGCGUCGUCCAUGGCCGGUGGUGGUGAGCUUUAGAGGUGCGGCGAAAUUGGUUGAAAGGGCAGUGAAGGCCGGCGGGCUCAGGGGUGGCGACGGUGGCAGCUUUGGGGAAGUCGGCAGGCAGCAAAAGGGAAGGAAAGCUGCAGCAGCUAUCGAUGCCAUUCAAGGCGUUUCCAGCGACGGCGGUAGGAGAUUUCGGUGGCGAUCGACUCCCCUCGGCCUGAGUUUCAUUUCGGCAGUGUUGGUGAUGCAAUUGGUGGCCGGAGUUGGAAGUUUGCGGUGGAGAGAGAAACUGGAGGCAGCUGAAGUUUUCAAGCUUUUUCGACGAGUUUCGGCGAGCUAUGGCCGAUCGGAGGGCAUAUCCAGACUCUCCUCAGCUCAAGCUUUUCAAUGGCACCAGUUUCGCUGCGACCGGAUUCCGUUUGAAGAUCGUUUGUAAAUUUCUCUGGAUGAUCAGGGGUCGGAUUGGAAUAUCGGAAGCUGGGAUCGUCAUCAGCGCAUUGUUUCAAGUCCGUAGGCGCAUUCAGAUCAUCGAUCGGACUCCGACGGUUGGAGGCGAGUCGACCGAGUGAUCAAACGUCUCGGUGCGGUUAGUUUUCUGCAGUUCUUUUUAUCUAGCACCCCGACUCCUUCAUCCUCGGAUUAGAUGUAGCUGAAUUCAUUGGUAUGUUAACUUUUAAAAUUCUAGAUUCUCCGCAGUAGAAAUUUUAGACUUAUCAGUUUGUAAUUUUAUGUAAAUUCAGGUCUUGCCUAAUUAUGCUGGUAGACCGAAUUAAAUAUGUAGGAUUUGAUGGUUAAGAUUAAUUGUGAAUCAGUGCUUUGGAUUGA
Ricinus communis (castor bean) is the source of this 953-nucleotide long non-coding RNA. RefSeq lists it as uncharacterized. The record is from RefSeq and is a predicted model, not a curated record. NCBI's taxonomy places the organism in Eukaryota, Viridiplantae, Streptophyta, Magnoliopsida, Malpighiales, Euphorbiaceae. The transcript has 2 exons.